UUUUGCAGCUCAGUGGUAGAGCACUUGACUAGUAUGUUCAAGGUCCUGGAUUCCAUUCCCAGUGCUGUAAACA
This 73-nucleotide transfer RNA is filed under the name Marmota monax (woodchuck). RNAcentral describes it as "tRNA.Thr". Lineage: Eukaryota; Metazoa; Chordata; Mammalia; Rodentia; Sciuridae. The record is from RNAcentral.